Molecule: long non-coding RNA, 722 nt
Filed under: Olea europaea subsp. europaea
Lineage: Eukaryota; Viridiplantae; Streptophyta; Magnoliopsida; Lamiales; Oleaceae
Source: RNAcentral
AAAUGAUUUGUAACCACCACCAUCAUUUGUAACAAUCACCUCACCACCGCGUCGCACACAGCAUCCCACCCAACCACCGCACACAGCAACAUACCCUACACGCCCACCAGAGCCACAUCAUGCUACCAACACCACCACACACAACACUACAUCAUUACCACACACAACCACUAGUCAACAACACCGCACCCAACCACCCACCGAACGCAUCACCAUACCCAAUCAUUGGUCAACAACCCCACACUCAACCACCCAUCGCACAUAGCAUUGCACCUAACCACGCCUCGCACACCACAACUGCACAUCACCACCACACCCAACCCAACCACCGUACCACUACACAUCACAACCAUUUGUGACUAGAGAAAAAUGGAAGAAAGGACCCCUGAUCUGCAGCACCUCGUUGCGAGCAGUGCCACGAGCAUCAACGUUGCCCUAUCCACAAACGAUCUGUGACGUGCUACUGUUUGGGUUGAUCUACAUCUUCAACUAUACCGGUCGUCGUGUGCAACCCUCAUUGCCGACAAGAGGUUAAAGAGAGGGUGAGAAAAGAGAGGCAGGAAGAUUGGAUAGAGAGAAGGGAGAUAAAUGGUUAGGGUUUGGGAUUGAAAUUUUGUAUGGUAGAUUAAUUAAUUUUUGAAUUGUUAUAUUUAGAAACAUGGUCUAUGAUUUAAGAAUCGAGAUCUCCACAUCUUUUGAUUCCUAUAAUUUCCCCAACAAAG